UACGGGGGGAGCAAGCGUUGUUCGGAUUUACUGGGCGUAAAGGGCGCGUAGGCGGCGCGGUAAGUCACUUGUGAAAUCUCUGAGCUUAACUCAGAACGGCCAAGUGAUACUGCAGUGCUAGAGUGCAGAAGGGGCAAUCGGAAUUCUUGGUGUAGCGGUGAAAUGCGUAGAUAUCAAGAGGAACACCUGAGGUGAAGACGGGUUGCUGGGCUGACACUGACGCUGAGUGCGCGAAAGCCAGGGGAGCAAACGGG
This 254-nucleotide ribosomal RNA is filed under the name uncultured bacterium. RNAcentral's name for it is "partial 16S ribosomal RNA". It matches the Rfam family "Bacterial small subunit ribosomal RNA", at positions 524 to 776 of the family's 1533-position model. The record is from RNAcentral.